AUUGAACGCUGGCGGCAGGCCUAACACACGCAAGUCGAGCGAGCGGCGGAUGGGUGUGUAAUGUAUGGGGACUGCCCGUUAGAGGGGGAUAACUACUGGAAUCGGUAGCUAGUACCGCAUUCUAUCGCAAAACCUAUAUGGGAUUAGCUAGUAGGUUGGGUAAUCGCUCACCUAGGCGACGAUCCCUCGCUGGUCUGAGAGGAUGUUCAGACACACUGGGACGGAGACACAGCCCAGACUCCUACGGAGGCAUCAGUGGGGAAUAUUGCACAAUGGGUGCAAGCCUGAUGCAGCCAUGCCGCGUGUAUGAAGAAGGCCUUAGGGAUGUAAAGUACUUUCAGUCGGGAGGCGUUACCGACAGAAGAAGCACCGGCUAACUCCAUGCCAGCAGCCGCGGUAAUUC
RNAcentral lists this ribosomal RNA (403 nucleotides) under uncultured bacterium. RNAcentral's name for it is "partial 16S ribosomal RNA". It matches the Rfam family "Bacterial small subunit ribosomal RNA", at positions 30 to 526 of the family's 1533-position model. The record is from RNAcentral.